CGUACUUUUUGUAGAACGGGCCAACGAGUUACGUUAAGUAGCAAGGUUAAGCACUUAAGGUGCGGAGCCGUAGCGAAAGCGAGUUUUAACUGAGCGUUCAGUUACUUGACGUAGACCCGAAACCGGGCGACCUACCCAUGAGCAGGAUGAAGCGAAAGUAAAAUUUCGUGGAGGUCCGAACCCACGCGCGUUGAAAAGCUCGGGGAUGACUUGUGGGUAGCGGUGAAAUUCCAAUCGAGCCCGGAGAUAGCUGGUUCUCCCCGAAAUAGCUUUAGGGCUAGCCUCAAGGUGAGAGAUACGGAGGUAGAGCACUGAAUGUCCUAGGGGGUAUUGCACCUACCGAAGACUAUCAAACUCCGAAUGCCGUCAUCUUAUACUUGGGAGUCAGACUGUGGGUGAUAAGAUUCAUAGUCGAAAGGGCAACAGCCCAGAUCGUCAGCUAAGGUCCCUAAAUGUAAGUUAAGUGGUAAAGGAUGUGGGAUUGCACAGACAACCAGGAUGUUGGCUUAGAAGCAGCCACUCAUUCAAAGAGUGCGUAAUAGCUCACUGGUCGAGUGAUCCUGCGCCGAAGAUUUCCGGGGCUAAAACUUACUACCGAAGCUACGGCAUCAGUAAUGAUGGGUAGGGGAGCUUCCCAUACGGGUUGAAGCAUGACCG
This 657-nucleotide ribosomal RNA is filed under the name Clostridioides difficile. RNAcentral's name for it is "bacterial LSU rRNA". It matches the Rfam family "Bacterial large subunit ribosomal RNA", at positions 600 to 1263 of the family's 2925-position model. Lineage: Bacteria; Bacillati; Bacillota; Clostridia; Peptostreptococcales; Peptostreptococcaceae. The record is from RNAcentral.